Molecule: ribosomal RNA, 468 nt
Filed under: uncultured bacterium
Lineage: Bacteria
Description: partial 16S ribosomal RNA
Rfam family: Bacterial small subunit ribosomal RNA
Source: RNAcentral
GACGAACGCUGGCGGCGUGCUUAACACAUGCAAGUCGAACGGAAAGGCCCUGCUUUUGUGGGGUGCUCGAGUGGCGAACGGGUGAGUAACACGUGAGUAACCUGCCCUUGACUUUGGGAUAACUUCAGGAAACUGGGGCUAAUACCGGAUAGGAGCUCCUGUAGCAUGGUGGGGGUUGGAAAGUUUCGGCGGUUGGGGAUGGAUUCGCGGCUUAUGAGCUUGUUGGUGGGGUAGUGGCUUACCAAGGCUUUGACGGGUAGCCGGCCUGAGAGGGUGACCGGCCACCUUGGGACUGAGAUACGGCCCAGACUCCUACGGGAGGCAGCAGUGGGGAAUAUUGCACAAUGGGCGGAAGCCUGAUGCAGCAACGCCGCGUGCGGGAUGACGGCCUGCGGGUUGUAAACCGCUUUCGCCUGUGACGAAGCGUGAGUGACGGUAAUGGGUAAAGAAGCACCGGCUAACUACGUG